Molecule: ribosomal RNA, 450 nt
Filed under: uncultured Glomeromycotina
Lineage: Eukaryota; Fungi; Glomeromycota
Description: SSU rRNA
Rfam family: Eukaryotic small subunit ribosomal RNA
Source: RNAcentral
AGCAGCCGCGGUAAUUCCAGCUCCAAUAGCGUAUAUUAAAGUUGUUGCAGUUAAAAAGCUCGUAGUUGAAUUUCGGGAUCAAUUUAUUGGUCGUGCUAUUGUACGUACUGGUAUUAUUGAUUCCUACCUUCUGACGAACCACGAUGUCAUUAAUUUGGUGUCAUGGGGAAUCAGGACUGUUACUUUGAAAAAAUUAGAGUGUUUAAAGCAGGCUCACGCUUGAAUACAUUAGCAUGGAAUAACGAAAUAGGACGUUUGAUUCUAUUUUGUUGGUUUCUAGGAUCGACGUAAUGAUUAAUAGGGAUAGUUGGGGGCAUUAGUAUUCAAUUGUCAGAGGUGAAAUUCUUGGAUUUAUUGAAGACUAACUACUGCGAAAGCAUUUGCCAAGGAUGUUUUCAUUAAUCAAGAACGAAAGUUAGGGGAUCGAAGACGAUCAGAUACCGUCGUAGU